Molecule: unclassified non-coding RNA, 1662 nt
Filed under: Centruroides sculpturatus (bark scorpion)
Lineage: Eukaryota; Metazoa; Arthropoda; Arachnida; Scorpiones; Buthidae
Description: acidic mammalian chitinase-like, transcript variant X2
Source: RNAcentral
CUACAUAUCUAGGCCUACUUGAUACAGAUUAGACUAUGUAUUCAUAUCACACACAUUAUCUUAAAAUAAUAUUUAAGUAAAAUUAAUAUAAAUUUAGAAAAAGAUAGAACACAUAAUUAUAUUUGUGAGAGGAUCUUCCUCAUUUUUCUUCAAGAAAUCCGACGAUCCAUCUUUUCCAACCGGACUUUCAUAACUUUGCGUUAUUGCUCCUGUGAAUUACAAGUGCUUCUUGGAUUGCCUUGGGCAUCACAGACUAGUUAUUUCAUAGGUAACGACAUAGUUGAUGUACAGGAUCUCCACCCAAGACUGGGUCAUCGAUGGAACCAGAUAAAACGUCACAGGAAUCUCGAAUUAUUAUUGGUGGAUUCGAUAUUAUUCAAUAUCAAACUUCCUUCAAAUAUAAGUGAACAUUGGAGCAGAUGAUUAUUGUUACUUAAUCUAUCUGGUUCGGAAAAGGCGGUAAACAUGAUGCCAAAUUAUGCUACUGCGACAAUGGCACUUCUACUAUUAGUAGGAGGCUUUUAUAGACACGAAAGGCAAAAGAAAGAAUACCAAUCGUUAGAAAAAGAAGAAAUGAUGAAAAGAGAAUCGGAAAAAGCCACCUCUCAAAAACUGGUGUGUUAUUACAAACUAGAAGGAAAUUAUAGCUAUCGCCUUCAACCCGAAGACAUCGAUCCAAACUUGUGUACCCAUUUGAUUGCAGGAUUUGCUGACACUCGUUAUGACCUUAUAGUACCUAGAUCUGCAGAUCACAUCGAUGGCUACAAACGUUGUUUGGAUCUAAAAAAUCGUAACCAGGAUUUAAAAGUACUUUUAUCUAUCGGUGCUACUAGUGGAGGAAGAUUUUCCAAGAUGAUUAAUUAUCAAACUGGUAGAGAAAGGUUCAUUCAUUCUGUCAUAUAUUUUAUUGAAAAAUAUCCAUUCGACGGUUUGGAUUUUGACUGGGAAUUUCCAGCAUGGGAAGGUGGACCAAUCACCGAUAAAAUCAAUUUUAUCACUCUACUAAAGGACCUGCGGCAAGUAUUCGAAAAAAUGAAAAAGCCAUUUUUAUUAACCGUUGCUGUUGCUGCUAGAGAACCCAUUAUUUCAUCAUCAUACGACAUUCCUGCUUUAGCAGAAGUGGUAGAUUUUGUUAAUUUGCUCUCUUAUGAUUUCCAUUAUUACCAUCCUGGAUUAAGUUAUACACACCAUCACAAUGCAUUAUAUAGAAGACCAAGCAGCACAGGACAUCACUUUACUUUAAAUGUGGAUAUGGUAGCAAGAUAUUGGAGUUUGUCUGGAAUGCCACGAAAAAAAAUUAUGAUUGGAAUUUCUACUCAUGCCCAAACAUUUAAUCUUGCAUCUACUUAUGCACAUGGAAUAGAUGCUCCUGCAAAAGGACCUGGUUUAGGCUUUGGACGCUUACCUUAUAGUAUGUUAUUUUUUGCAAAGUGGAGCACAUCGAAUAUUUGAUAUAUUUGCUAGAGUUCCAUAUGCUUAUAAAGGACAUCAAUGGAUGUCUUUUGAUGAUGAAGAAAGUGUUGCAGAAAAGGCUAAAUGGGUGAAGAGAAACAGUUUCGGUGGAAUAAUGACAUAUAAUUUAAAUAACGAUGACUGGCAGAUGAAAUGCGACAAUCAAACUUCAUUUCCUUUACAUAGAACUAUAGCAGAUAUAUUUAAAUA